UACGGGGGGAGCAAGCGUUGUUCGGAUUUACUGGGCGUAAAGGGCGCGUAGGCGGCGUGACAAGUCACUUGUGAAAUCUCCGGGCUUAACUCGGAACGGUCAAGUGAUACUGUCGGACUAGAGUACAGAAGGGGCAACUGGAAUUCUCGGUGUAGCGGUGAAAUGCGUAGAUAUCGAGAGGAACACCUGCGGCGAAGGCGGGUUGCUGGGCUGACACUGACGCUGAGGCGCGAAAGCUAGGGGAGCAAACGGG
This 253-nucleotide ribosomal RNA is filed under the name uncultured bacterium. RNAcentral's name for it is "partial 16S ribosomal RNA". It matches the Rfam family "Bacterial small subunit ribosomal RNA", at positions 524 to 776 of the family's 1533-position model. The record is from RNAcentral.